This 616-nucleotide long non-coding RNA is filed under the name Bos indicus x Bos taurus (hybrid cattle). Its description in RNAcentral is "lncRNA (ENSBIXG00000017411.1)". The record is from RNAcentral. Lineage: Eukaryota; Metazoa; Chordata; Mammalia; Artiodactyla; Bovidae.
ACUCAGAGUCCUGGGCUUACGCAAUUGGUGAGAAAUGGAAGCCUGCUUGCUCUGGGUGCUCCUGCUCCAGGUUCAUCUCAGCAAUUUGCCUGACAGAGGGUGUCUUGUUCCACAACUCUAAGUAAUGAAGAAAGAUGCUGAAGUGGUUGUAUUAUCCUUCACCCCAUCUGUCCUAUAUCAUCAGAACAGGGUAUUACUGUUAGUCUUUGCAACCCAAUGGACUGUACCUCUGUCCAUGGAAUUCUCCAGGCAAGAAUACUGGAGUGGUUGCCAUUGCAUUCUCCAAGGGAUUUUCCUGACAUCCUGACCCAGGGAUUGAACCAGGAUCUCCCACACUGCAGGCAGAUUCAUUACCACCUGAGUGAUCAUUUCAGGGUGAGUACAUAAAGAAACCUUGGUAGAGAAUAUGAAAGAGAAACCAAAUUCCAAAUACUCUAGACUGUAAAUUGCUGCUGCUGCUGCUGCUAAGUCGCUUCAGUCGUGUCCGACUCUGUGUGACCCCAUAGGCGACAGCCCACCAGGCUCCCCCGUCCCUGGGAUUCUCCAGGCAAGAACACUGGAGUGGGUUGCCAUUUCCUUCUCCAAUGCCUGAAAGUGAAAAGUGAAAGUGAAGUCG